Gammaproteobacteria bacterium RIFCSPLOWO2_12_47_11 is the source of this 181-nucleotide non-coding RNA. The record is from Rfam. NCBI's taxonomy places the organism in Bacteria, Pseudomonadati, Pseudomonadota, Gammaproteobacteria.
UAUCUACUGCGGCGUUUGUGUACAGGUGUGUGGUAACUUGAGCCUAUAAUGCACUGCACCGGGAACAAAAUCGCGUUGUUGUUGUGCACGUCCUUCACGGGAAAGCCUGAUACGACGCCAGCUGUUCCCACUUGGACUCUGGUUCAAGUUCGAUUACCUGUCACGGCGCUGUGGUGAUACC